GGUUGUCGUCAGCUCGUGUCGUGAGAUGUUGGGUUAAGUCCCGCAACGAGCGCAACCCUCGACCUUAGUUGCCAGCAUUCAGUUGGGCACUCUAAGGUGACUGCCGGCUAAAAGUCGGAGGAAGUGGGAUGACGUCAAAUCAUCAUGCCCCUUAUGACCUGGGCUACACACGUGCUACAAUGGUUGGUACAACGAGUUGCGAGUCGGUGACGGCGAGCUAAUCUCUUAAAGCCAAUCUCAGUUCGGAUUGUAGGCUGCAACUCGCCUACAUGAAGUCGGAAUCGCUAGUAAUCGCGGAUCAGCACGCCGCGGUGAAUACGUUCCCGGGCCUU
RNAcentral lists this ribosomal RNA (332 nucleotides) under uncultured Streptococcus sp. RNAcentral describes it as "bacterial SSU rRNA". It matches the Rfam family "Bacterial small subunit ribosomal RNA", at positions 1047 to 1382 of the family's 1533-position model. The record is from RNAcentral. Lineage: Bacteria; Bacillati; Bacillota; Bacilli; Lactobacillales; Streptococcaceae.